This 563-nucleotide ribosomal RNA is filed under the name Streptomyces sp. 316G02. RNAcentral's name for it is "bacterial SSU rRNA". It matches the Rfam family "Bacterial small subunit ribosomal RNA", at positions 93 to 671 of the family's 1533-position model. The record is from RNAcentral. Lineage: Bacteria; Bacillati; Actinomycetota; Actinomycetes; Kitasatosporales; Streptomycetaceae.
UAGUGGCGAACGGGUGAGUAACACGUGGGCAAUCUGCCCUUCACUCUGGGACAAGCCCUGGAAACGGGGUCUAAUACCGGAUAACACCUGCCCGGGCAUCUGGGUGGGUUAAAAGCUCCGGCGGUGAAGGAUGAGCCCGCGGCCUAUCAGCUUGUUGGUGAGGUAGUGGCUCACCAAGGCGACGACGGGUAGCCGGCCUGAGAGGGCGACCGGCCACACUGGGACUGAGACACGGCCCAGACUCCUACGGGAGGCAGCAGUGGGGAAUAUUGCACAAUGGGCGAAAGCCUGAUGCAGCGACGCCGCGUGAGGGAUGACGGCCUUCGGGUUGUAAACCUCUUUCAGCAGGGAAGAAGCGAAAGUGACGGUACCUGCAGAAGAAGCGCCGGCUAACUACGUGCCAGCAGCCGCGGUAAUACGUAGGGCGCAAGCGUUGUCCGGAAUUAUUGGGCGUAAAGAGCUCGUAGGCGGNUUGUCACGUCGGGUGUGAAAGCCCGGGGCUUAACCCCGGGUCUGCAUUCGAUACGGGCUAGCUAGAGUGGGNAGGGAAGAUCGGANUUCCU